Oncorhynchus tshawytscha (Chinook salmon) is the source of this 859-nucleotide long non-coding RNA. NCBI's taxonomy places the organism in Eukaryota, Metazoa, Chordata, Actinopteri, Salmoniformes, Salmonidae. The record is from Ensembl.
CUAUUCUAUAUGGGUUCUUAUUGACCAGGUGUUCUCUAUUCUACAUGGGUCCUUAUGGAGCAGGUAUAUAUUCUAUAUGGGUCCUUAUGGAGCAGGUGUUGUCUAUUCUAUAUGGGUCCUUAUGGAGCAGGUGUUGUCUAUUCUAUACGAGUCCUUAUGGAGCAGGUGUUGUCUAUUUUAUAUGAGUCCUUAUGGAGCAGGUGUAUAUUCUAUAUGAGUCCUUAUGGAGCAGGUAUAUAUUCUAUAUGGGUCCUUAUGGAGCAGGUGUUGUCUAUUCUAUAUGGGUCCUUAUGGAGCAGGUAUUGUCUAUUCUAUGAGUCCUUAUGGAGCAGGUGUUGUCUAUUCUAUAUGAGUCCUUAUGGAGCAGGUAUAUAUUCUAUAUGAGUCCUUAUGGAGCAGGUGUUGUCUAUUCUAUAUGGGUCCUUAUGGACCAGGUGUUGUUUAUUCUAUAUGAGUCCUUAUGGAGCAGGUGUUGUCUAUUCUAUAUGAGUCCUUAUGGAGCAGGUGUUGUCUAUUCUAUAUGAGUCCUUAUGGAGCAGGUGUUGUCUAUUUUAUAUGAGUCCUUAUGGAGCAGGUGUGUUGUCUAUUCUAUAUGAGUCCUUAUAGAGCAGGUGUUGUCUAUUCUAUAUGAGUCCUUAUAGAGCAGGUGUUGUCUAUUCUAUAUGAGUCCUUAUGGACCAGGUGUUGUCUAUUCUAUAUGGGUCCUUAUGGAGCAGGUGUUGUCUAUUCUAUACGAGUACUUAUAGAGCAGGUGUUGUCUAUUUUACAUGAGUCCUUAUGGAGCAGGUGUUGUCUAUUCUAUAUGAGUCCUUAUGGAGCAGGUGUUGUCUAUUUUAUAUGAGUCCUUAUGGAGCAGGUG